ACCUAGCUGGUUCAGUCAGUAGAGCAUGUGACUCUUGAUCUCAGGGUCGUGGGUUCGAGCCCCACAUUGGGGG
RNAcentral lists this transfer RNA (73 nucleotides) under Felis catus (domestic cat). It matches the Rfam family "tRNA". From Rfam's summary of the family: Transfer RNA (tRNA) molecules are approximately 80 nucleotides in length. Their secondary structure includes four short double-helical elements and three loops (D, anti-codon, and T loops). The record is from Rfam by way of RNAcentral. RNAcentral also lists the same sequence under 1 other name. Lineage: Eukaryota; Metazoa; Chordata; Mammalia; Carnivora; Felidae.